This 449-nucleotide ribosomal RNA is filed under the name grassland soil clone saf2_111. RNAcentral describes it as "bacterial SSU rRNA". It matches the Rfam family "Bacterial small subunit ribosomal RNA", at positions 50 to 492 of the family's 1533-position model. The record is from RNAcentral.
AACACAUGCAAGUCGAGCGGUAACAGGCGUAGCAAUACGUGCUGACGAGCGGCGAACGGGUGCGUAAUACAUGGGAAUCUGCCUUUUAGUGGGGAAUAACCCGGCGAAAGCCGGGCUAAUGCCGCAUAAGAUCUUCGGAUGAAAGCGGGGGAUCGUAAGACCUCGCGCUGAUAGAUGAGCCCAUGCCGGAUUAGCUAGUUGGUGAGGUAACGGCUCACCAAGGCGACGAUCCGUAGCUGGUCUGAGAGGACGGCCAGCCACACUGGGACUGAGACACGGCCCAGACUCCUACGGGAGGCAGCAGUGGGGAAUAUUGGACAAUGGGCGAAAGCCUGAUCCAGCGACGCCGCGUGUGUGAAGAAGGCCUGCGGGUUGUAAAGCACUUUCGAUGGGAACGAAAUGUGCCGGGCUAAUACCCCGGCAAGCUGACGUUACUCAAUGAAGAAGCA